AGAUUGAACGCUGGUGGCAGGCCUACACAUGCAAGUCGAGCGCGAAAUGUCUUCGGACUGAGUAGAGCGGCGGACGGGUGAGUAACGCGUAGGAAUCUACCCGGUAGUGGGGGACAACUCGGGGAAACUCGAGCUAAUACCGCAUACGCCCUUUGGGGGAAAGCGGGGGACCUUCGGGCCUCGCGCUAUCGGAUGAGCCUGCGUUGGAUUAGCUAGUUGGUGGGGUAAAGGCCUACCAAGGCUGCGAUCCAUAGCUGGUCUGAGAGGAUGAUCAGCCACACCGGGACUGAGACACGGCCCGGACUCCUACGGGAGGCAGCAGUGGGGAAUAUUGCGCAAUGGGCGGAAGCCUGACGCAGCCAUGCCGCGUGUGUGAAGAAGGCCUUCGGGUUGUAAAGCACUUUCACUUGGGAAGAAACGUCGUCGGUGAAUAGCCGGCGGAAUUGACAUUACCUUGAGAAGAAGCACCGGCUAACUCCGUGCCAGCAGCCGCGGUAAUACGGAGGGUGCGAGCGUUAAUCGGAAUUACUGGGCGUAAAGCGCGCGUAGGUGGUUUGUUAAGUCGGAUGUGAAAGCCCCGGGCUCAACCUGGGAAUUGCACCCGAUACUGGCCGACUGGAGUGCGAGAGAGGGAGGUAGAAUUCCACCGUGUAGCGGUGAAAUGCGUAGAUCUGUGGAGGAAUACCGGUGGCGAAGGCGGCCUCCUGGCUCGACACUGACGCUGAGGUGCGAAAGCGUGGGGAGCAAAC
This 749-nucleotide ribosomal RNA is filed under the name uncultured organism. RNAcentral describes it as "bacterial SSU rRNA". It matches the Rfam family "Bacterial small subunit ribosomal RNA", at positions 26 to 773 of the family's 1533-position model. The record is from RNAcentral.